AAUAGAUACCCAGGUAGUCCACGCCGUAAACGAUGAGUGCUAAGUGUUAGAGGGUUUCCGCCCUUUAGUGCUGCAGCUAACGCAUUAAGCACUCCGCCUGGGGAGUACGGUCGCAAGACUGAAACUCAAAGGAAUUGACGGGGGCCCGCACAAGCGGUGGAGCAUGUGGUUUAAUUCGAAGCAACGCGAAGAACCUUACCAGGUCUUGACAUCCUCUGACAACUCUAGUAGAUAGAGCGUUCCCCUUCGGGGGACAGAGUGACAGGUGGUGCAUGGUUGUCGUCAGCUCGUGUCGUGAGAUGUUGGGUUAAGUCCCGCAACGAGCGCAACCCUUGAUCUUAGUUGCCAGCAUUUAGUUGGGCACUCUAAGGUGACUGCCGGUGACAAACCGGAGGAAGUGGGGAUGACGUCAAAUCAUCAUGCCCCUUAUGACCUGGGCUACACACGUGCUACAAUGGAUGGUACAAAGGGCUGCAAGACCGCGAGGUCAAGCCAAUCCCAUAAACCAUUCUCAGUUCGGAUUGUACG
Molecule: ribosomal RNA, 528 nt
Filed under: uncultured bacterium
Lineage: Bacteria
Description: bacterial SSU rRNA
Rfam family: Bacterial small subunit ribosomal RNA
Source: RNAcentral